AGGGUAUUUGGACAUGGGCGAAUGCCUCGAUCCACGCCAUCGCCGCGUGCAUGAUGAAGGCCUUCUGGGUUGGUAAACUGCUUUUGCCGGGGGAAAAAAUGCCCUGCGCGAUUAAUUGAACGUACCUGGUGAAUAAGCCACGGCUAACUACUUAGCCAGCAGCCGCGGUAAUAA
This 174-nucleotide ribosomal RNA is filed under the name uncultured bacterium. RNAcentral describes it as "partial 16S ribosomal RNA". It matches the Rfam family "Bacterial small subunit ribosomal RNA", at positions 357 to 526 of the family's 1533-position model. The record is from RNAcentral.